UUUCCGUAGGUGAACCUGCGGAAGGAUCAUUAUUGUAUAACCGAGGUGCGAGGGCUGUCGCUGACCCGAAAGGUCGUGCACGCCCGAGUGCCCUCACACACAUCCAUCUCACCCCUAUGUGCACCACCGCGUAGGUCCCCCUUUGGCUUGUUCUGAGGGGGCUUACGUUUUCACACAAACUUUGUAUGCAGUGUAGAAUGUAUUUUUUGUUUUUGCGAUCACGCAAUCAAUACAACUUUCAACAACGGAUCUCUUGGCUCUC
RNAcentral lists this unclassified non-coding RNA (262 nucleotides) under plant metagenome. Its description in RNAcentral is "partial contains small subunit ribosomal RNA, internal transcribed spacer 1, and 5.8S ribosomal RNA". The record is from RNAcentral.